RNAcentral lists this unclassified non-coding RNA (219 nucleotides) under Hevea brasiliensis (rubber tree). Lineage: Eukaryota; Viridiplantae; Streptophyta; Magnoliopsida; Malpighiales; Euphorbiaceae. The record is from RNAcentral.
AAGAAAACGAAGAAACAAAGAUAUGGGUAUUUUGCACGACGAUGUGGUGCUUGUCAGGCCAUCGGAGAAAGACGAUGAGCCAACCGUCAUCACUGUCAAUUGCCCCGAUAAAACUGGGUUGGGCUGCGACUUGUGCCGCAUAAUUCUCUUUUUUGGUCUAAACAUUGUCAGAGGCGAUGUUACAACCGAUGGUAAAUGGUGCUACAUAGUGUUUUGGGU